RNAcentral lists this ribosomal RNA (247 nucleotides) under uncultured bacterium. Its description in RNAcentral is "partial 16S ribosomal RNA". It matches the Rfam family "Bacterial small subunit ribosomal RNA", at positions 523 to 769 of the family's 1533-position model. The record is from RNAcentral.
AUACGUAGGUGGCAAGCGUUGUCCGGAAUGACUGGGCGUAAAGGGUGCGUAGGCGGCUUAUUAAGUUAGAAGUGUAAUACCUGGGCUUAACCUGGGUGCUACUUCUAAAACUAAUGAGCUUGAGUGUGGGAGAGGUAAGUGGAAUUCCUAGUGUAGCGGUGGAAUGCGUAGAUAUUAGGAGGAACACCAGUGGCGAAGGCGACUUACUGGACCAUAACUGACGCUGAGGCACGAAAGCGUGGGGAGC